GAGAUUCUAGUAAAUUAAUUACAUCACCUUGUCAAGGUGAAAUUGUGAGUGAAAACCCCACGAAUCUUA
Molecule: transfer RNA, 69 nt
Filed under: Beringraja binoculata (big skate)
Lineage: Eukaryota; Metazoa; Chordata; Chondrichthyes; Rajiformes; Rajidae
Description: tRNA-Asp
Rfam family: tRNA
About the family: Transfer RNA (tRNA) molecules are approximately 80 nucleotides in length. Their secondary structure includes four short double-helical elements and three loops (D, anti-codon, and T loops).
Source: RNAcentral